AUUCUUAGGUUCUUUAUGUUUUUCACAUUUAGGAAAAAAAAAGGAUAAUAUUAGUAGAUAACCAAAUAAAACAUACAAAUUAAGAAAUUAGCAGAGAGAAAAUUUUUUGUUACAAAAUAACCAUGGACCCACGUUGUCGGAAGAAAGGAAAUAACAAAGCUACCCUUCAUUUGUUGUAAGAUGAACAGUAAACGAAACACAUCCGUGUAAUUUUUAAAAAUAGCAUGUAACAUUAAAAUUUCACAUGUUAUAUUUAGUUUAAAAACAUGCUAUUUCAAAAAACGUUAUGAAUUUUUAAGAAAAAACAUUAUUAU
This 314-nucleotide small RNA is filed under the name Arabidopsis thaliana (thale cress). Its description in RNAcentral is "ATSL219060". The record is from RNAcentral. Lineage: Eukaryota; Viridiplantae; Streptophyta; Magnoliopsida; Brassicales; Brassicaceae.